CCCUGGCCCUGAUAGAAGCGACAUCCUUUUAUGUCGGCCGCGGCAGACAUAAAAGAUAUAGUGGAUAGCAGGAAACAGC
Molecule: small RNA, 79 nt
Filed under: Flavobacterium araucananum
Lineage: Bacteria; Pseudomonadati; Bacteroidota; Flavobacteriia; Flavobacteriales; Flavobacteriaceae
Description: Flavo-1 RNA
Rfam family: Flavo-1 RNA
Source: RNAcentral